This 692-nucleotide ribosomal RNA is filed under the name Proteus mirabilis. RNAcentral describes it as "partial 23S ribosomal RNA". It matches the Rfam family "Bacterial large subunit ribosomal RNA", at positions 1084 to 1777 of the family's 2925-position model. The record is from RNAcentral. Lineage: Bacteria; Pseudomonadati; Pseudomonadota; Gammaproteobacteria; Enterobacterales; Morganellaceae.
CUCAGACAGCCAGGAUGUUGGCUUAGAAGCAGCCAUCAUUUAAAGAAAGCGUAAUAGCUCACUGGUCGAGUCGGCCCGCGCGGAAGAUGUAACGGGGCUAAACCAUGCACCGAAGCUGCGGCAGCGACACAUAGUGUUGUUGGGUAGGGGAGCGUUCUGUAAGCCUGCGAAGGUGUACUGUGAGGUAUGCUGGAGGUAUCAGAAGUGCGAAUGCUGACAUAAGUAACGAUAAUGCGGGUGAAAAACCCGCACGCCGGAAGACCAAGGGUUCCUGUCCAACGUUAAUCGGGGCAGGGUGAGUCGACCCCUAAGGCGAGGCUGAAAAGCGUAGUCGAUGGGAAACGGGUUAAUAUUCCCGUACUGGUGGUAACUGCGAUGGGGGAACGGAGAAGGCUAGGUUGUCCGGGCGACGGUCGUCCCGGUUCAAGCAGGUAGGCAGAGUGAUUAGGCAAAUCCGGUCACUUAAUGCUGAGAUGUGAUGACGAACCACCAAGGUGGUGAAGCAAUUGAUGCCCCGCUUCCAGGAAAAGCCUCUAAGCUUCAGGUUACCAACAAUCGUACCCCAAACCGACACAGGUGGUCAGGUAGAGAAUACUCAGGCGCUUGAGAGAACUCGGGUGAAGGAACUAGGCAAAAUGGUGCCGUAACUUCGGGAGAAGGCACGCUGGCGGUAGGUAAAGUCCCUCGCGGAC